UCCAUCUGCACGAAAUUAAAUUGUUUACAACUUAAUAAGUAAACCUUAAUCGAUAUAUCAAUUUUUGAAUUUGUUUUGGCCUUUAUAAUCCUUCAACGAUAUUUUUGUUAUUCGGUUAUUCCUGAAUUCUCAGUUGAGAUUAAAAAGCAAAUCUCGAUUUCUAAAGUCCUAACUUGGACCUGUUCAAAUAUGUAAAUAUCUUUGUAGGAAUUGUAAAAUUUUAAAUAUAUAUGAUAUAACCAGAAUUAUCAAUGCUACAGUAAUUUAUAUAAAUUAUUUUCAAUAUUUUUAAAAAACAUUUAUGUUAGUAAAAAGUAAUUUUAAGUACAUUGUUUACAAAUACGAUUUAUGAGUUAUUUAUGAACUUCAAACGCAUUUUUCCUUUCUUCUAUUAGAAUUCCGUUUACUGUUAUCAGGAACAGUUUUGGAAGAUUAAAGAAAUUAAUCCAUGUUUUGCACCUGGCAUCUCAAUAACAAUGCGUAAAUAUCAUAUAUAUUCUUAAAUUUUAUAUUUACUUGUAUAUAUUGUUGCAAGGAUUAGGACAGUAAUUUUCAAAGGAUUAAGAAAAUCGCUAUUUUACCUGACCUAUUCUAAUAACAAUAAACAUGUUAUAAUCGGAUCAAACUUAAAUAAAACUGAAAUCGUUACUUAUAUUUUCCCUAAUUCGAAUGACCUGCUCCCUACCUAAACAAGUAGGAGGGGGUAUUUGCAGCAGAAUUUGUAUAUAUAUAAGUUAGGGAAGAGACUGAAGAACUUAAUUCGAAAUUCCCAUCAUUCCAAGUCAGUCGUUCCUUCAAGAACUGAAUCAAAAAUCAGUAUCAUACGUUCAGUAUCAUAAUCACAGUGAAUAAUCAUGAACAUCACACUACAUGUGCAAACAAGAGUUUUGCCUCUAAUUAUUGUUAAUAAUGGUAGAAAUGAAGAUGCAUAUUUGGUGCGUGUUAUUAUAAACUCUUCGAAUAUCGAAAUUCACUGUGUGUAUUUUGUGCAUGAAAGGAUAUCCUUGCUGUAUGUUAUUAUAUAUAAUUUGGAAAAUGUGCGGGAGAAGGAUUUUGAGACUGGACGAUGUGCAGACGAGGUGUGAUACUGCUAUUUUUACAUCCUCGUCAAAUAUAAUUUGGAAAUUGUAUGGGAGAAGAAUUUUCGGACUGGAUCAUAUCAUUAAUAAAACAUAUAAGAUUAAUUAUAAUAUUUUUACAUCCGUCACUGCAUUUCUUGUUUAUUGUCUUCUUCUUGGAGAAAUUGAAUUUAAGUUCUUCGAAAGAAGAGGAUAAUGAUUGUUAAUUAUAACGUGAUAAUGGAAAAUUGUAAAUUUUCUAAUGUUUUUAAAGAAGCAAUGUAAAAAAAAUAAUUUUAUUUCUUUUUUGUAAGAUAAGCAUAUUAUGUAAAAUGUAUUAAAUAAUUUAAUACUUAUAUGUAAAUAAAUUGUAAUAUGUAAAUUAAUUUAGUUAUAUGUAAAUAAAUUUUUUUAUAUUUUUGCAAAA
Molecule: long non-coding RNA, 1485 nt
Organism: Apis cerana (Asiatic honeybee)
Lineage: Eukaryota; Metazoa; Arthropoda; Insecta; Hymenoptera; Apidae
Source: RefSeq, a predicted model, not a curated record